RNAcentral lists this ribosomal RNA (447 nucleotides) under Triticum aestivum (bread wheat). Its description in RNAcentral is "partial small subunit ribosomal RNA". Lineage: Eukaryota; Viridiplantae; Streptophyta; Magnoliopsida; Poales; Poaceae. The record is from RNAcentral.
AUGGAUGGUGCAUUAUCAAGAAACAGGCGAGUGGGAGUUGCAGCCGCAAUCUGCCGUGAUUCAAAUGGCAACUAUCUUGGCGCGUCAGCGGUGGUCUAUGGGGGCGUAUGCGCCCCGAUGAUCCUGGAGACAUACGCGUGUCGGGAGGCUCUAGCGCUGGCGGAAGACCUACACGAGCAGAAUAUCAAGGUGGCAUCGGAUUGCCAAGGUGUGGUGCAGGACAUCAAUGAAGGGACAGCUGGCCCCAAUGCGGCUAUUAUACAUGAAAUAACGAACCGCAAAGAUAGUUUUAUGUCUUGCUCUUUUGUUUUUGAACGUAGGAAUUUCAAUUUCGAGGCUCAUAAUCUCGCUAAAUUUGCUUGUAACCUAGAUAUAGGUAGACAUGUUUGGUUGGGUACUCCUCAUGACCCAAGCUGUGUACCUAUGAACAUUGUCAUGAAUCAAUAA